Molecule: ribosomal RNA, 1554 nt
Filed under: Staphylococcus aureus
Lineage: Bacteria; Bacillati; Bacillota; Bacilli; Caryophanales; Staphylococcaceae
Description: 16S ribosomal RNA
Rfam family: Bacterial small subunit ribosomal RNA
Source: RNAcentral
UUUAUGGAGAGUUUGAUCCUGGCUCAGGAUGAACGCUGGCGGCGUGCCUAAUACAUGCAAGUCGAGCGAACGGACGAGAAGCUUGCUUCUCUGAUGUUAGCGGCGGACGGGUGAGUAACACGUGGAUAACCUACCUAUAAGACUGGGAUAACUUCGGGAAACCGGAGCUAAUACCGGAUGAUAUUUUGAACCGCAUGGUUCAAAAGUGAAAGACGGUCUUGCUGUCACUUAUAGAUGGAUCCGCGCUGCAUUAGCUAGUUGGUAAGGUAACGGCUUACCAAGGCAACGAUGCAUAGCCGACCUGAGAGGGUGAUCGGCCACACUGGAACUGAGACACGGUCCAGACUCCUACGGGAGGCAGCAGUAGGGAAUCUUCCGCAAUGGGCGAAAGCCUGACGGAGCAACGCCGCGUGAGUGAUGAAGGUCUUCGGAUCGUAAAACUCUGUUAUUAGGGAAGAACAUAUGUGUAAGUAACUGUGCACAUCUUGACGGUACCUAAUCAGAAAGCCACGGCUAACUACGUGCCAGCAGCCGCGGUAAUACGUAGGUGGCAAGCGUUAUCCGGAAUUAUUGGGCGUAAAGCGCGCGUAGGCGGUUUUUUAAGUCUGAUGUGAAAGCCCACGGCUCAACCGUGGAGGGUCAUUGGAAACUGGAAAACUUGAGUGCAGAAGAGGAAAGUGGAAUUCCAUGUGUAGCGGUGAAAUGCGCAGAGAUAUGGAGGAACACCAGUGGCGAAGGCGACUUUCUGGUCUGUAACUGACGCUGAUGUGCGAAAGCGUGGGGAUCAAACAGGAUUAGAUACCCUGGUAGUCCACGCCGUAAACGAUGAGUGCUAAGUGUUAGGGGGUUUCCGCCCCUUAGUGCUGCAGCUAACGCAUUAAGCACUCCGCCUGGGGAGUACGACCGCAAGGUUGAAACUCAAAGGAAUUGACGGGGACCCGCACAAGCGGUGGAGCAUGUGGUUUAAUUCGAAGCAACGCGAAGAACCUUACCAAAUCUUGACAUCCUUUGACAACUCUAGAGAUAGAGCCUUCCCCUUCGGGGGACAAAGUGACAGGUGGUGCAUGGUUGUCGUCAGCUCGUGUCGUGAGAUGUUGGGUUAAGUCCCGCAACGAGCGCAACCCUUAAGCUUAGUUGCCAUCAUUAAGUUGGGCACUCUAAGUUGACUGCCGGUGACAAACCGGAGGAAGGUGGGGAUGACGUCAAAUCAUCAUGCCCCUUAUGAUUUGGGCUACACACGUGCUACAAUGGACAAUACAAAGGGCAGCGAAACCGCGAGGUCAAGCAAAUCCCAUAAAGUUGUUCUCAGUUCGGAUUGUAGUCUGCAACUCGACUACAUGAAGCUGGAAUCGCUAGUAAUCGUAGAUCAGCAUGCUACGGUGAAUACGUUCCCGGGUCUUGUACACACCGCCCGUCACACCACGAGAGUUUGUAACACCCGAAGCCGGUGGAAUAACCUUUUAGGAGCUAGCCGUCGAAGGUGGGACAAAUGAUUGGGGUGAAGUCGUAACAAGGUAGCCGUAUCGGAAGGUGCGGCUGGAUCACCUCCUUUCU